Molecule: long non-coding RNA, 850 nt
Filed under: Homo sapiens (human)
Lineage: Eukaryota; Metazoa; Chordata; Mammalia; Primates; Hominidae
Description: long intergenic non-protein coding RNA 467
Source: RNAcentral
UUUCUAGUCGACUGUUGCGCGUGCGCGCGCUGUGACGUUCCCUACGCGGUCGGGCGUUGGGUUUCGCGGCGCUCGCCGCACUGGUUGUUCAGCACCUUCGGUCCGGUUGAGGUUGUCAAGUCGGACCAAACAGGUUGUUUCUCUGCAGUUUCCAUUACGAAAGAUGAGUAUUUAGUACUCCAUUUGUGCUGUUUUCCUUUUGUGGUAUCAUUCAGCCUUGUGGCUUCAAACAUUGUACUGAAGAUUCUCAGACUUAUUACUACAUGGCAGGGAGGUUUAAUAGACAUGGAUAAGAAGUCCACUCACAGAAAUCCUGAAGAUGCCAGGGCUGGCAAAUAUGAAGGUAAACACAAACGAAAGAAAAGAAGAAAGCAAAACCAAAACCAGCACCGAUCCCGACAUAGAUCAGUGACGUCUUUUUCUUCAGAUGAUCCUAUGUUUCCUUCUUCCUCAUCAUCGUCUUCAGGAAGCCAGACAGAUUCAAGUAUUGAAGAUGCUGCCAAGGGAAAAAUUAAGAAGAAGAGAAGAGAGAAAACAAAUAAAUGGGAAAAAAGAAAGGACAAAAUAUGAAACACCAAGAAAAAGAGAAGGAAAAAAAGGAGGAAACAACCACAUAUGUCACCUUUCCAAGAGGGACUGAAACUGGGCUGACCCUUUUGAUUUCCAAGCUCAGCGUUUUGGUGUAAGGCGGCCAAAGAAGGAUGCGGAGCCCAGCACUGUGAAGCCUACAAAAACAUUGAUGCGCUGGCUUGGGGAUUUGAAUUUGAACAUCUUUCACACUAAGUUCAGACUCAUGAAACCAAUCUUCAGAUGCUCUGUAAACCACAUAAUAAAGAGUUUGGAAAUUAUA